GACGAACGCUGGCGGCGUGCUUAACACAUGCAAGUCGAACGGAAAGGCCCUGCUUGCAGGGUACUCGAGUGGCGAACGGUGAGUAACACGUGGGUGAUCUGCCCUGCACUUCGGGAUAAGCCUGGGAAACUGGGUCUAAUACCGGAUAGGAGCCAUUUUUAGUGUGAUGGUUGGAAGGUUUUUCGGUGUAGGAUGAGCUCGCGGCCUAUCAGCUUGUUGGUGGGGUAAUGGCCUACCAAGGCGGCGACGGGUAGCCGGCCUGAGAGGGUGGACGGCCACAUUGGGACUGAGAUACGGCCCAGACUCCUACGGGAGGCAGCAGUGGGGAAUAUUGCACAAUGGGCGCAAGCCUGAUGCAGCGACGCCGCGUGGGGGAUGACGGCCUUCGGUUGGUAAACUACCUUUCGUCUAGGACGAAGCUUUUGUGACGGUACCUAGAUAAGAAG
Molecule: ribosomal RNA, 446 nt
Filed under: uncultured bacterium
Lineage: Bacteria
Description: bacterial SSU rRNA
Rfam family: Bacterial small subunit ribosomal RNA
Source: RNAcentral